UAGGGAAUCUUCGGCAAUGGACGAAAGUCUGACCGAGCAACGCCGCGUGAGUGAAGAAGGUUUUCGGAUCGUAAAACUCUGUUGUUAGAGAAGAACAAGGACGUUAGUAACUGAACGUCCCCUGACGGUAUCUAACCAGAAAGCCACGUCUAACUACGUGCCAGCAGCCGCGGUAAUACGUAGGUGGCAAGCGUUGUCCGGAUUUAUUGGGCGUAAAGCGAGCGCAGGCGGUUUCUUAAGUCUGAUGUGAAAGCCCCCGGCUCAACCGGGGAGGGUCAUUGGAAACUGGGAGACUUGAGUGCAGAAGAGGAGAGUGGAAUUCCAUGUGUAGCGGUGAAAUGCGGAGAUAUAUGGAGGAACACCAGUGGCGAAGGCGGCUCUCUGGUCUGUAACUGACGCUGAGGCUCGAAAGCGUGGGGAGCAAACAGG
Molecule: ribosomal RNA, 429 nt
Filed under: Gemmatimonadota bacterium
Lineage: Bacteria; Pseudomonadati; Gemmatimonadota
Description: Gemmatimonadetes bacterium partial 16S ribosomal RNA
Rfam family: Bacterial small subunit ribosomal RNA
Source: RNAcentral